This 354-nucleotide ribosomal RNA is filed under the name uncultured bacterium. Its description in RNAcentral is "bacterial SSU rRNA". It matches the Rfam family "Bacterial small subunit ribosomal RNA", at positions 917 to 1264 of the family's 1533-position model. The record is from RNAcentral.
GGGCUCACACAAGCGGUGGAGGAUGUGGCUUAAUUCGAGGCUACGCGAAGAACCUUAUCCUAGUCUUGACAUGUAUGGAUUAACCCUGUGAAAGCAGGGCCACGCCUUCGGGUGGAACAUACACAGGUGCUGCAUGGCUGUCGUCAGCUCGUGUCGUGAGAUGUCGCGUUAAGUCGCUUAACGAGCGAAACCCUUGUCUCUAGUUGCCAGCGCGUAAUGCGGGGGACUCUAGAGAGACCGCCGGCGUUAAGCCGGAGGAAGGUGGGGAUGACGUCAAGUCCUCAUGGCCCUUAUGACUAGGGCUGCACACGUCCCUACAAUGGAACGCACAAAGGGAAGCGAAACCGCGAGGUC